GACGAACGCUGGCGGCGUGCUUAACACAUGCAAGUCGAACGGUGAAGCGCCUUCCUUUUUGGUGGGUGUGGAUGAGUGGCGAACGGGUGAGUAACACGUGAGUAACCUGCCCCCUUCUUCUGGAUAACCGCAUGAAAGUGUGGCUAAUACGGGAUAUGCUGUGUCUGUCGCAUGAUGGGUCUUGGAAAGAUAUUGUUUCGGUGGGGGAUGGGCUCGCGGCCUAUCAGCUUGUGGGUGGGGGGAUGGCCUACCAAGGCGGUGACGGGUAGCCGGCCUGGGAGGGUGGACGGCCACACUGGGAAUGAGCCGCGGACAAGCCUCCGACGGGAGGCAGUGGGGGAGAAUAGUGCACGGUGGGAGGCAGGAUGCUGCCGCGCCGCCGCGUGAGGGAUGGAGGUCUGCGUGUUGUGAACCUCUUUCGCCAGUGAAGCAGGGCUGCCUAGUUUGUGGGUGGGUUGACGGUAGCUGGAGAAGAAGCGCCGGCUAACUACGUG
This 494-nucleotide ribosomal RNA is filed under the name uncultured bacterium. Its description in RNAcentral is "partial 16S ribosomal RNA". It matches the Rfam family "Bacterial small subunit ribosomal RNA", at positions 28 to 507 of the family's 1533-position model. The record is from RNAcentral.